Molecule: ribosomal RNA, 254 nt
Filed under: uncultured bacterium
Lineage: Bacteria
Description: partial 16S ribosomal RNA
Rfam family: Bacterial small subunit ribosomal RNA
Source: RNAcentral
UACGGGGGGAGCAAGCGUUGUUCGGAUUUACUGGGCGUAAAGGGCGCGUAGGCGGUCAGCACAAGUCAGUUGUGAAAUCUCCGGGCUUAACUCGGAAAGGUCAACUGAUACUGUGCGACUAGAGUGCGGAAGGGGCAACUGGAAUUCUCGGUGUAGCGGUGAAAUGCGCAGAUAUCAGGAGGAACACCGGUGGCGAAGGCGGGGUCCUGGGCCAGUACUGACGCUGAGGAGCGAAAGCGUGGGGAGCAAACAGG